UUUCGCAAUGCCCGAAAGGGUGACGAAGCGACGCCGCGUGGGUGAGGAAGGCCUUCGGGUUGUAAAGCCCUGUCAGGAGUUAAGAAAUGUAAGUGCGCUAAUACCGCAUUUAUUUGACGAAGGCUCCAAGGAAGUCACGGCUAACUCUGUGCCAGCAGCCGCGGUAAUACAGAGGUGGCAAGCGUUGUUCGGAAUUAUUGGGCGUAAAGAGCACGUAGGUGGGUUUGUAAGUCAGAUGUGAAAGCCUCCUGUUCAACGGGAGAAUUGCAUCUGAAACUACAGAUCUUGAGUGUAGGAGGGGAGAAUGGAACUUCUGGUGGAGCGGUGAAAUGCGUAGAUAUCAGAAGGAACGCCGGCGGCGAAAGCGAUUCUCUGGCCUAUUACUGACACUCAGUGUGCGAAAGCUAGGGUAGCAAACGGGAUUAGAUACCCCGGUAGUCCUAGCCGUAAACGAUGGGCACUAAGUAGAGGGGUUUUA
Molecule: ribosomal RNA, 478 nt
Filed under: uncultured anaerobic ammonium-oxidizing bacterium
Lineage: Bacteria
Description: bacterial SSU rRNA
Rfam family: Bacterial small subunit ribosomal RNA
Source: RNAcentral